RNAcentral lists this unclassified non-coding RNA (376 nucleotides) under soil metagenome. Its description in RNAcentral is "partial contains 5.8S ribosomal RNA, internal transcribed spacer 2, and large subunit ribosomal RNA". The stretch from base 1 to 120 matches the Rfam family "5.8S ribosomal RNA", at positions 35 to 154 of the family's 154-position model. The record is from RNAcentral.
GAUGAAGAACGUAGCGAAAUGCGAUAAGUAAUGUGAAUUGCAGAAUUCAGUGAAUCAUCGAAUCUUUGAACGCAUCUUGCGCGCCUUGGUAUUCUGAGGAGCAUGCCUGUUUGAGUGUCAUUAAAUUCUCAACUACACUGACUUUGAAUUGGUGUGGCUUGGAUUUGGGGGGAAAAUUGUUGUGGGCUUUUUGUAUAGUCUGCUCCCCUGAAAUUGAUUAGCGGUACCUUUGUGGAACUGUCUACAGGUGUGAUAAUUAUCUACAUCUUAGACAUCUGCUGGAAUGCUGCUUUCUAAACCUUACUUGUAUUGACAAUCUUGACCUCAAAUCAGGUAGGACUACCCGCUGAACUUAAGCAUAUCAAUAAGCGGAGGA